This 497-nucleotide ribosomal RNA is filed under the name uncultured bacterium. RNAcentral's name for it is "partial 16S ribosomal RNA". It matches the Rfam family "Bacterial small subunit ribosomal RNA", at positions 28 to 507 of the family's 1533-position model. The record is from RNAcentral.
GAUGAACGCUGGCGGCGUGCCUAAUACAUGCAAGUCGAGCGAACAGACGAGGAGCUUGCUCCCCUGACGUUAGCGGCGGACGGGUGAGUAACACGUGGAGAAACUACUUAUAAGACUGGGAUAACUUCGGGAAACCGGAGCUAAUACCGCAUAAUAUAUCGAAUCGCAUGGUUCAAUAGCGAAAGACGGUUUUGCUGUCACUUAUAGAUGGAUCCGCGCCGCAUUAGCUAGUUGGUAAGGUAACGGCUUACCAAGGCAACGAUGCGUAGCCGACCUGAGAGGGUGAUCGGCCACACUGGAAGUGAGACACGGUCCAGACUCCUGCGGGAGGCCGCAGUCGGGAAUCUUCCGCGAUGGGCGAGAGCCUGAUCCAGCAACACCGCGGAAGUGCUGAAGGACUUCGGAUCGUAAAACUCUGUUCUUAGGCAAGAACAACUGUGUAAGUAGCUAUGCACAUAUUGACGGUACCUAAACAAAAAGCCACGGCUAACUACGUG